GGGAAGAGUGAAGGGGGCGGUGGUGGGGGAGAUGGAGUUAAACCAGGUAUGAGUGGUGGGAUAAACGGAGGGAAUAAUGAAGGUGGAGAACGUGGAGGUGAAGGGAUUAUUGGAGGAAAUAUUGAAGGUGGAGGUGAAGGGAAUAAGGGAGGAAAUAUGGAAGGAGGAGGAGAGGGGAUGACAGGAGGAAUAAUGGAAGGUGGAGGUAGAAAUGGGUUUGGAGGAAGGAUUGAAGGUGGUGGAAGAAGUGGAUUUGGAGGCAAGGGAAGUCCUCCUCCUAUUGGAUUGAAAAAAUUUGGCUUAGCUGCAGCUUCUGAUUGAGAGUAGUAUUUGCUAGAGUCUUUAGGCACUGGUGAUAUUGGAAGUCCUGGA
This 372-nucleotide long non-coding RNA is filed under the name Solanum tuberosum (potato). RNAcentral describes it as "long non-coding RNA (STUB_LNC003252)". Lineage: Eukaryota; Viridiplantae; Streptophyta; Magnoliopsida; Solanales; Solanaceae. The record is from RNAcentral.